This 383-nucleotide transfer-messenger RNA is filed under the name Patescibacteria group. Its description in RNAcentral is "2-01-FULL-44-21 sp001777655 Standard tmRNA". It matches the Rfam family "transfer-messenger RNA". Rfam says of the family: Bacterial tmRNA, also known as 10Sa RNA or SsrA, is named for its dual tRNA and mRNA-like properties. RNAcentral also lists the same sequence under 2 other names. The record is from RNAcentral.
GGGGCUGCAUAGUAUCGACAGAAGUUCUUUGAUAAAUAUCGCAAGUCCGAUUAGCCUAACUUCUCGGUUAAAAAAGUAAGGCAAACCAUAAAUGCCAAUUCGUUGGUAAGCAGAAUCAAGAACGCUUUUGCGUUCUCGCCUGCUUUGGCUAUUGCUUAAUAAGCGAUUGCCCAUCCGUCCUGCAAUGUCUGUGCGCAGAUCACGGGUGUUAUAUUAUCAGACUCACUUUAGCUGACGCCUGACAGCCAAAGGAAAUUUAAGGCUCACCUUAUGGCGCUUUGGUCUGCUUCUAUGUCAUAAGGAAAAUCUCAAAGCGGUCUAAGCUUGUAGGCAUAUUUAUCGAAAAUUUUUGGACGGGAGUGCAAAUCUCCCCAGCUCCACCA